GUCUUUGCUUCAGAAACACAUAUAUUAAAAUUUGGCUGAUACAGAGAAGAUAAGCCUGCCCCUGUGCAAAGACGAUAAGCAAAUGUGUACAAUACUUUA
RNAcentral lists this small nuclear RNA (99 nucleotides) under Jaculus jaculus (lesser Egyptian jerboa). Lineage: Eukaryota; Metazoa; Chordata; Mammalia; Rodentia; Dipodidae. The record is from RNAcentral.